UUAAACUGCAAGAUUUUUGAGCAGGGGUAGAAGAAUUAGGCCCCUUGGGGUGUCGGCGUGCUAAAGUUUAUGAGGCAAUAUUAACUGUCUCCAAUAAUAAUUUAUGUUAAUGGCUCCGGUCGGCUACGAGAGCGAGCAGGGAGAACGCGCGACAGUUGCUAUUGUAGCAUAGCGAAGAGUGGAGGUGUUAGUGAGUUAAUGUUAAGUAAUUAGCAAUAUUUUCUGAUAACAUCGGAAAUGACUGGUGCAGUGGUGUUGAUUAUUUGCUUAAAGUAUGCCGAUCUUUAAUUAAUCCGACUUCGAAAAUGAAAACUCUGAACAGGAGAUAUGACUGAAGUUACAAGUGUAUCUAUAAUUCUAUAACGAAAGACGAAACAUGCUUAGGUGGUAGGACAUAUCUUCGAAAAAUGCAUAUUAAGGGAUCGACAUAAAGGUAUCAAAAGCGACCUGAAAGGAAACACGACGCUAAUCAAGAUUCAACCAACUGUUAUAUUUUGUAGAAAGUGAGGGAAAGGGAUUGCUGUCAACGUCUUUAUCCUUGAGGAACCCGAUCACGAAAUAUUCAGCGAGGCAUGAAUUCUCAAAGGAGUCCUUGGAUUACGGAACUUCCAAGGACUGAGAUCUCUCACAUUUCAUUUGGGAUGUUUUGUGAGCGCAGCCGAAGAUUUUCGGUAAUGCGCAACAUCCCCUAGUGCGCGGGAAAACUGGGCGUGAAGCGAUCGAUCGAGCAUCAGGAGCUGGCUAUGUUUCCACCCAUUGCUGGCAUCUCGACAUGUACAACCUACUGUCACAGGCCAUGGCACCCUCUCUGUCAACAAGAUGCGUGAUAGUUACAAGAAAAGUGCAACUUUGAUGGACGUGUUUACUGCCCAUUAUUUCGCCUCUCCUAUAUUUACCUGCACGUGGUUUCAAUUAGGUAUGCACAUUCGUUUUUAUUACUAUUUGUAGUAACACACAUUGUUUAAAUAUUUGCUUUUCUUGCCUUUUAUGUCUUGUUUUAACUAAUUACAUAAAAUAAUUAAUUUA
Molecule: long non-coding RNA, 1026 nt
Organism: Photinus pyralis (common eastern firefly)
Lineage: Eukaryota; Metazoa; Arthropoda; Insecta; Coleoptera; Lampyridae
Exons: 3
Source: RefSeq, a predicted model, not a curated record